GUGCCAGCAGCCGCGGUAAUACGGAGGGUGCGAGCGUUAAUCGGAAUAACUGGGCGUAAAGGGCAUGCAGGCGGGUCAUUAAGUUAGGUGUGAAAUCCCCGGGCUCAACCUGGGAACUGCACUUAAAACUGGUGGUCUGGAGUAUUGUAGAGGAAGGUAGAAUUCCACGUGUAGCGGUGAAAUGCGUAGAGAUGUGGAGGAAUACCGGUGGCGAAAGCGGCCUCCUAGACGAAUACUGACGCUGAGGUGCGAAAGCGUGGGGAGCAAACAGGAUUAGAAAACCCCGGUAGUCC
This 293-nucleotide ribosomal RNA is filed under the name Serratia endosymbiont of Prociphilus longianus. Its description in RNAcentral is "partial 16S ribosomal RNA". It matches the Rfam family "Bacterial small subunit ribosomal RNA", at positions 505 to 796 of the family's 1533-position model. The record is from RNAcentral. Lineage: Bacteria; Pseudomonadati; Pseudomonadota; Gammaproteobacteria; Enterobacterales; Yersiniaceae.